Molecule: ribosomal RNA, 253 nt
Filed under: uncultured bacterium
Lineage: Bacteria
Description: partial 16S ribosomal RNA
Rfam family: Bacterial small subunit ribosomal RNA
Source: RNAcentral
UACGUAGGGGGCAAGCGUUGUCCGGAUUUAUUGGGCGUAAAGAGCGUGUAGGCGGUUUGGUAGGUCCGCUGUGAAAGCUCGAGGCUCAACCUCGAGACGCCGGUGGAAACCAUCAGACUAGAGUCCGGAAGAGGAGAGUGGAAUUCCUGGUGUAGCGGUGAAAUGCGCAGAUAUCGGGAAGAACACCCGUGGCGAAGGCGGCUCUCUGGAACGCAACUGACGCUGAGACGCGAAAGCGUGGGGAGCAAACAGG